RNAcentral lists this ribosomal RNA (518 nucleotides) under Cytospora platycladi. RNAcentral describes it as "Cytospora sp. XF-2019i partial large subunit ribosomal RNA". It matches the Rfam family "Eukaryotic large subunit ribosomal RNA", at positions 89 to 630 of the family's 3401-position model. Lineage: Eukaryota; Fungi; Ascomycota; Sordariomycetes; Diaporthales; Cytosporaceae. The record is from RNAcentral.
GCGAGUGAAGCGGCAACAGCUCAAAUUUGAAAGCUGGCUCCGGCCCGCAUUGUAAUUUGCAGAGGAUGCUUUUGGUGAGGUGCCUUCCGAGUUCCCUGGAACGGGACGCCACAGAGGGUGAGAGCCCCGUAUGGAUGGACACCAAACCUGUGUAAAGCUCCUUCAACGAGUCGAGUAGUUUGGGAAUGCUGCUCAAAAUGGGAGGUAAAUCUCUUCUAAAGCUAAAUACCGGCCAGAGACCGAUAGCGCACAAGUAGAGUGAUCGAAAGAUGAAAAGCACCUUGAAAAGGGGGUUAAACAGUACGUGAAAUUGUUGAAAGGGAAGCGUUUAUGACCAGACUUGCGCCGGGCAGCUCAUCAGGGGUUCUCCCCUGUGCACUCUGCCCGGCUCAGGCCAGCAUCGGUUCUCGUGGGAGGAUAAGAACGGUGGGAAUGUGGCCCCCUCUCGGGGGGGUGUUAUAGCCUGCCGUACGAUACUCCCGUGGGGACCGAGGUUCGCGCUCCGCAAGGAUGCUGGC